This 131-nucleotide ribosomal RNA is filed under the name Cephalotus follicularis. RNAcentral describes it as "5.8S ribosomal RNA". It matches the Rfam family "5.8S ribosomal RNA", at positions 1 to 135 of the family's 154-position model. Rfam says of the family: 5.8S ribosomal RNA (5.8S rRNA) is a component of the large subunit of the eukaryotic ribosome. It is transcribed by RNA polymerase I as part of the 45S precursor that also contains 18S and 28S rRNA. The record is from Rfam by way of RNAcentral. Lineage: Eukaryota; Viridiplantae; Streptophyta; Magnoliopsida; Oxalidales; Cephalotaceae.
GACUCUCAGUAACAAAUAUCUUGACUCUAGCAUCGAUGAAAAACAUAACAAAUUACAAUACUUUGUGUAAGUUACAAAAUUCGGUGAAUCAUCCUUUGAACGCAAGUUCCCCUACAUCGUUUUACAUGUAA